This 253-nucleotide ribosomal RNA is filed under the name uncultured bacterium. RNAcentral's name for it is "partial 16S ribosomal RNA". It matches the Rfam family "Bacterial small subunit ribosomal RNA", at positions 524 to 776 of the family's 1533-position model. The record is from RNAcentral.
GACGUAGGGCGCGAGCGUUGUCCGGAAUUAUUGGGCGUAAAGAGCUCGUAGGCGGCUUGUCGCGUCGACCGUGAAAACCCGUGGCUCAACUAUGGGCUGGCGGUCGAUACGGGCAGGCUUGAGUUCGGCAGGGGAGACUGGAAUUCCUGGUGUAGCGGUGAAAUGCGCAGAUAUCAGGAGGAACACCGGUGGCGAAGGCGGGUCUCUGGGCCGACACUGACGCUGAGGAGCGAAAGCGUGGGGAGCGAACAGG